AAUAUUAAAGGCAACGCCUGCCCAGUGAACAAUUAAACGGCCGCGGUACCCUAACCGUGCAAAGGUAGCGUAAUCACUUGUCUAUUAAUUGUAGACCCGUAUGAAAGGCAAAAUGAGGGCCUAACUGUCUCUUAUAAUAAAUCAAUUAAACUGAUCUCCCAGUCCAAAAGCUGGAAUACACACAUAAGACCAGAAGACCCUGUGAAGCUUAAACUAAACUAUUAAACCACAUAAUAGCUCCUUUUGGUUGGGGCGACCUUGGAAAAAAAAAGAACUUCCAAACAAGUGACCUACAUCACACCACAAGGCCAACAAGCCGAUACUAUGACCCAGCAUAGCUGAUAACUGAACCAAGUUACUCCAGGGAUAACAGCGCUAUCUUCUUCAAGAGCCCAUAUCAAAAAGAAGGUUUACGACCUCGAUGUUGGAUCAGGACAUCCUAAUGGUGCAGCCGCUAUUAAGGGUUCGUUUGUUCAACGAUUAACAGUCCU
Molecule: ribosomal RNA, 491 nt
Filed under: Liophidium chabaudi
Lineage: Eukaryota; Metazoa; Chordata; Lepidosauria; Squamata
Description: partial 16S ribosomal RNA
Rfam family: Bacterial large subunit ribosomal RNA
Source: RNAcentral